RNA transcript from Lolium rigidum, 1896 nucleotides. It is a transcript of the gene named inositol-tetrakisphosphate 1-kinase 2-like, with no coding region annotated. The record is from RefSeq and is a predicted model, not a curated record. The transcript has 10 exons. NCBI's taxonomy places the organism in Eukaryota, Viridiplantae, Streptophyta, Magnoliopsida, Poales, Poaceae.
UCUACAAAUACCAGACUGCUCUGUCCGUUCCCCCUCUUCCACUCGUCUCGCCAUUAACAAAAGGGCGGAAGCUCCGGGAAACAAUUUUCUUCGUCCAAAUCCUCCAGACAAAGCCCUAUCACCUCAGUCCCAAACUCAGCUAACUCUCUCUCACGCGCGCGCGCGCCCCCCUCAGCGUGGAAUUUAUGCCCGAAUUUUCUGCCAAAUUGGGUUCACCGGCCAUUCGUGGCAGGAGUUCGGGAUAGAGCUCGCGGGGAUGAGGCUGCACGGGGAUAUGUCGGAUGACGAAGAGGAUGCAGUGAUGGAUCCAGCACUGCUGUCAUCGUCGUCGCCCAACGGCGCGGCAGUGGCGGCUGUCGUCGCUGCGCCGAGGCUGGUGGUGGGCUACGCCCUCACGAAUAAGAAGGUGAAGAGCUUCCUCCAGCCCAAGCUGCUCUUGCUGGCGAGGAAGAAAGGAAUUAGUUUCGUAUCAAUUGAUGAGACUCAUCCUCUCUCCGAGCAAGGACCAUUUGAUAUUAUCCUGCACAAGAAAACUAGCAAGGAGUGGCAGCGGGUUCUGGAGGAUUAUCAUGAAGUGCAUCCAGAAGUCACUGUUCUUGACCCACCCAAUGCCAUCGAGCAUCUAAACAAUCGACAAUCGAUGCUUGAAGAAGUAGCAGAUUUGAACCUGUCCAGUUUCUAUGAAGAAGUUUGCACUCCACGUCAACUGGUCAUUAUGAAAGAUCCGUCCUCUAUACCAACUGCAGUUGCCAUGGCUGGACUAACCUUGCCAUUAGUUGCCAAGCCAUUGGUUGUUGAUGGAACUUCAAAAUCUCAUGAGCUAUCUCUUGCAUACGACGAGGCAGCGUUGUCAAUGCUGGAUCCACCUCUGGUACUCCAGGAAUUUGUGAAUCAUGGCGGGAUCCUCUUUAAGGUGUACAUCAUUGGUGAAGCAAUACAGGUUGUCCGCAGGUUUUCUGUUCCUGAUGUUAACACCUAUGACUUACUAAACAAUGUUGGCAUCUAUCGACUUCCAAGAGUUUCAUGUGCUGCAGCUAGUGCAGACCAUGCAGACCUUGAUCCUCGUAUUGCAGAGCUUCCUCCAAGACCACUUCUAGAGAAACUGAGCAGGGAGCUACGUGGUCGGCUGGGUCUGAGAUUGUUCAACGUAGAUAUGAUUAGAGAACUUGGAGCAAAUGAUCGGUACUAUAUAAUUGAUAUCAAUUACUUCCCAGGUGUGUAGAUAUUUUGUCUGUCACGUGGCUUUGCAUUUCUUUUGUUCUGUCAAUGUGUUCAUGAAGAACUUGCUAGGCGAAACAAUUUUAUCCCAGCCGAGGGGGAAAGAAGUGUAUCAACCCGAGAUGUCUCUGGCCAUGUAGGCCAGUUUAACACUGUUCCAGUAGGGAUAUCUUCUCCACUAACCAAGGUUGACUUGGUUGGAGCAUGAGUAGAGUCUUGCUAACUGUAUGUUGUUCAGCCCAGGGGCAGAUUGUUCCAACUCUUUACAGGGUAUGGGAAAAUGCCAGGCUAUGAACACAUAUUCACUGACUUCUUGCAAAGUCUUGGGCAAAACAAUUAUAAAAGGAGCUUGAGCGAGGGCUGAAGUGCGAGGAAGUUUGUGAGUGAACAACAGGAGAGCAUGUAUGGGUGGAAGCCAUACUUUUUCAGAAAUGUAUAUAUCUGGGAUAUAAGGUGGAACCCACCAAAGGCUUGAAGAAGUCCCAAACUCACAGUGCUGGUCUUCUCAGAACUCACAAGUGGCGCCACAUACAGGGUCAGGGACUAAGGGGAUAAAGAAGAAGAAAAGCUCGAAUGACCUCGAGCCCUUGUUUGUAUAAAUCGGUGAAUAUUGUAUUCUGGGUGCCUUUGUGUAGGAUUGUUUUGAUUUUUGAACAUAGCUUGGUGAUCCUCUCGUCA